This is a long non-coding RNA of Callorhinus ursinus (northern fur seal), 333 nucleotides long. RefSeq lists it as uncharacterized. NCBI's taxonomy places the organism in Eukaryota, Metazoa, Chordata, Mammalia, Carnivora, Otariidae. The record is from RefSeq and is a predicted model, not a curated record.
UCGCGACAAGGUUUUGAAGAACUCUGCCCCGUGUUUUCCCGGUCUGGGUGCUUGAAGAGAAGGAAAGGGCCAAGAGAACACGAAACUGCCGAACGCCGCUGGGCCGAAUAUUCCUUCAAGAGUCCAAGGAAACUGUCCCUGGGGACGGGCGAAGGGCGGGCCGUGGCGUGGUCCCUGCCGUCGCGCACCGGGGCGGAUCGUGUGAUUCUUGAGACUCAGGACCCGGCCUCCCUGUUCUACUUUUAAGAACACUUCUGAUUACAUUGGACCACCUAGAGAAUUCAGGAUAACUUUCCAUUUUAAGGGCUCAGACCUUUGGAGACCACUCUCCUC